This 452-nucleotide ribosomal RNA is filed under the name uncultured bacterium. Its description in RNAcentral is "bacterial SSU rRNA". It matches the Rfam family "Bacterial small subunit ribosomal RNA", at positions 29 to 524 of the family's 1533-position model. The record is from RNAcentral.
AGCGAACGCUGGCGGCAGGCUUAACACAUGCAAGUCGAGCGCCCGUAGCAAUACGGGAGCGGCAGACGGGAGAGUAACACGUGGGAACAUGCCCUUCGGUUCGGAAUAACUCAGGGAAACUUGAGCUAAUACCGGAUACGUCCGUAAGGAGAAAGAUUUAUCGCCGAAGGAUUGGCCCGCGUCCGAUUAGCUUGUUGGUGAGGUAAUGGCUCACCAAGGCGACGAUCGGUAGCUGGUCUGAGAGGAUGAUCAGCCUCACUGGGACUGAGACACGGCCCAGACUCCUACGGGAGGCAGCAGUGGGGAAUAUUGGACAAUGGGCGCAAGCCUGAUCCAGCCAUGCCGCGUGGGUGAUGAAGGCCUUAGGGUUGUAAAGCCCUUUCGGCGGGGAAGAUAAUGACGGUACCCGCAGAAGAAGCCCCGGCUAACUUCGUGCCAGCAGCCGCGGUAAC